CCCAGUUCCGAACCCGUCGGC
This 21-nucleotide small nuclear RNA is filed under the name Arabidopsis thaliana (thale cress). Its description in RNAcentral is "snRNA_09814". Lineage: Eukaryota; Viridiplantae; Streptophyta; Magnoliopsida; Brassicales; Brassicaceae. The record is from RNAcentral.